UAGGGAAUAUUGGGCAAUGGAGGCAACUCUGACCCAGCCAUGCCGCGUGAAGGAUGAAGGUCCUCUGGAUUGUAAACUUCUUUUAUAAGGGAAGAAAACCCCCGAUUCACUCGGGGUCUGACGGUACCUUACGAAUAAGCACCGGCUAACUCCGUGCCAGCAGCCGCGGUAAUACGGAGGGUGCAAGCGUUAUCCGGAUUCACUGGGUUUAAAGGGAGCGUAGGCGGAUUGGUAAGUCAGUGGUGAAAGCCCCGGGCUCAACUUGGGAAUUGCCAUUGAUACUGCUGAUCUUGAGUAUGGUUGAAGUGGGCGGAAUGUUGCAUGUAGCGGUGAAAUGCUUAGAUAUGCAACAGAACACCGAUUGCGUAGGCAGCUCACUAAGCCAUAACUGACGCUGAGGCUCGAAAGCGUGGGGAUCAAACAG
Molecule: ribosomal RNA, 424 nt
Filed under: uncultured bacterium
Lineage: Bacteria
Description: bacterial SSU rRNA
Rfam family: Bacterial small subunit ribosomal RNA
Source: RNAcentral